CAUAUGACUCUCGGCAACGGAUAUCUCGGCUCUCGCAUCGAUGAAGAACGUAGCAAAAUGCGAUACCUGGUGUGAAUUGCAGAAUCCCGUGAACCAUCGAGUUUUUGAACGCAAGUUGCGCCCGAGGCCUUCUGGCCGAGGGCACGUCUGCCUGGGCGUCACGC
Molecule: ribosomal RNA, 164 nt
Filed under: Eragrostis lanicaulis
Lineage: Eukaryota; Viridiplantae; Streptophyta; Magnoliopsida; Poales; Poaceae
Description: 5.8S ribosomal RNA
Rfam family: 5.8S ribosomal RNA
About the family: 5.8S ribosomal RNA (5.8S rRNA) is a component of the large subunit of the eukaryotic ribosome. It is transcribed by RNA polymerase I as part of the 45S precursor that also contains 18S and 28S rRNA.
Source: RNAcentral